UCUGACGGAGCAACGCCGCGUGAGUGAUGAAGGCUUUCGGGUCGUAAAACUCUGUUGUUAGGGAAGAACAAGUACAAGAGUAACUGCUCGUACCUUGACGGUACCUAACCAGAAAGCCACGGCUAACUACGUGCCAGCAGCCGCGGUAAUACGUAGGUGGCAAGCGUUAUCCGGAAUUAUUGGGCGUAAAGCGCGCGCAGGCGGUUUCUUAAGUCUGAUGUGAAAGCCCACGGCUCAACCGUGGAGGGUCAUUGGAAACUGGGGAACUUGAGUGCAGAAGAGAAAAGCGGAAUUCCACGUGUAGCGGUGAAAUGCGUAGAGAUGUGGAGGAACACCAGUGGCGAAGGCGGCUUUUUGGUCUGUAACUGACGCUGAGGCGCGAAAGCGUGGGGAGCAAAC
RNAcentral lists this ribosomal RNA (399 nucleotides) under Priestia megaterium. RNAcentral's name for it is "bacterial SSU rRNA". It matches the Rfam family "Bacterial small subunit ribosomal RNA", at positions 382 to 773 of the family's 1533-position model. Lineage: Bacteria; Bacillati; Bacillota; Bacilli; Caryophanales; Bacillaceae. The record is from RNAcentral.